AUGGGGAUUUGUGAGAUUCAAACUCAUCUAUGGUUCACUCUUUUAGGAUCAGAUAUGAACAUCCUCCAGAUCAAAGCAUCUCUUGCAUUGCUUCUAGGUUCUGCAGCUGAGGAUGGCAGUAGAUGGGGGCUGGCUGGCAGGUGUAGCCCACAGAAGUGUUACUGUGCAGCUUUAACAUCAACACCACGACAGCAGCGCCAGAGGUGGCAGACAGAUAACAAAGACAUUAAUUACAUCAGCCAUGCCAGGCUUGAGCGGUGGGAAUUUCUGUUCUUAAGAUAUGGGAUCAGAAAAGAAGAUCCAGUUCUGCUCAUUAGACAUCAGAUGAGAAAGUAGGUGCAUAUUUUGUUUUGUGUUUGCAUUGUCAUGUUCAGUGGAUGCUUUUUCAGAUAUGUUAAUUUUAUAUCAAAGGAAUUCCAUGCGCAGAGUUAAAAAUAUCAAAAAGUUUUAUAAAGGAAACCAGAGGUUCUCUUUCCCCAUGCUUCCUGUUCUCCCCCUUGGGUACCUUCCCAAAGGCUAGGAUUUUUUUUUUUUUUUUGUCUUUUUAGGACCACACCUGCAGCAUAUGAAAGUUCCCAGCCUAGGAGUUCAAAUCAGAGCUGUUGUUGCUGGCCUACACCACAGCCACAGCAUUGCCAUAUCCUUAACCCACUGAUCGAGGCCAGGGAUCGAACCUGUGUGCUCAAGGAUACAAGUUGGGUUUGUUACCACUGAGCCACAAUGGGAACUCCCAAGGCCAGGAUUUUUAAAGGUUAGCUCUGUAUUUCGAAACAUGCACAGAUUGUGAUUUCUUGACUAAUUUCCCUCAGACAUUAUUUAUUAAUUUCUUUCUUGCAGAAGAUAAGCACUUAGCUCUCUUCUGUGGGGAUGAGUUAUUUUCUUAAUCCUGCACCAAAAUGAGCAUUCUCUGAUUCUCAGAGCCUGUAGUGCUUCUCAGAAUCCCAUACAGGCUGUUCUUACCCUGCUGCUUGUCCAGGCUAGAGAGCGAGUGAGCUUUGAUGGGGGCGAUGUUGCUGGUCUCAAAUACACAGGCAGCCUCCCCACAGGCACUGGCUGUUGCUAUUUCCCAGUUGGAAUUGCUCAGAGAGGUCUAGGCCUCCUGGAAAGUAGGCCAGCAUUGCAAAUAUUUACCAAAAAAAAAAAAAAAAAAAAAACCUUUGGGGAAGGAAAACUGUUUGGGUGGAAGUCCAAGGAUGGCUCUGAGGACCCUGCUGGAGUGGGGGUCUGAGCAGGUGGGUGAGCGGAGCAGAGAGGGGAAAUCAUGUGUGGACAGAGAUGGAUGACAAGCGGUCACUCUCAGGAAUAAGACCUUAAGAUACGCAAACAAACCCGGUGGAAGUCAAGCUGCUGGGAGAAAUGCUGGUUAGCAGGUUGGCGAAAACUCACGUUGAUCCCUCAUGUCAGAUUUAACACCGAAAAAGACAGGGGGGGAAAAAACCCUUCUAGGCAGAGUAAAAGCCUUAACAUUUUUAGUAAAAAUAAACACCAGAAGACAAUAACAUUGAACAUGUAUCGAGUUGUGGAAACUUGAAGGAGAAGGGUAGAUAAAAUCACACAAUAGAAGAUUGAUGUAAAAUUAAUUAUAUAUUUUGAAAGUCGUUGGCUUAAAAACUGUUAAAAGGAAGCAAAAUGGGACACUAUUCUAAGCAAGGAUGACAAACGCGGGCUUGAUAUUCUUCACAUAAAAGGGCUUAUAAAAUUAUUAUGAAAAUCACUAAGAUCCGGCAAACUAAAAUAGACAGGAAAAUACAAAUCACAAAGAGGAAACAAAACGGCUUGAAAAACAUAUGGGAAAAUGUUCAACCUUGCUAGUAAUCAAAGAAAUGCAAAUUAAAAUGGAGAGACUAUUUUUAGCUAGAAAAUGUGUAACCUUUCCCCAAAAACCAGACUCCCCAUACUGAUGGAGGUGUGGUGAAACUGAGACGCCCAGGCACUGCUGGAGGCAAUGUGAGUUCCUGUGGCCCUUUUGGAAGACGCGUUCGAACACCCAUGCUCCCCCGCCCCCCGCCCAGGGCACGUGGAAGUUUCAGGGCCAGGGAUUGGACACGUGUGUCACAGUAGGGACCCAAGCCGCUGGAGAAACCUCACUGGAUCCUUAACCUGCUGUCACUGCACCACAAGGUAACUCCUACCUAGGCUUCUUAGUUCAACAAUUCUACCUCCAAUGCGGCAAUCUCAAAUGCAGCCAAAGCUUUUUGUAGUAAAACAAAACUAAACCAAACAAAACUUCAAUGCAGUGUUAUUUACAGUGGUGAAAAGGAGAACGGAAUCUAUAUGUGUAACGAGAGGGGGAAGAGUUAGGUCAUUGAUGGAAUCCAUUUGCUGGAUUAUUGUAAGCCCUGUUGUGAGUCUGGCCCACCUGGAUCUGUAUCUUGCUCUUAUCUUCCCUGUGUCUUAGGGGAUGGCGGUUCCAUUUCGGAUUCUGCCUCCCUGUCUGUAAGGCUGAACUGAGGGGACCCUGCAGAGUGGUUGUGGGAAUUUUGGCUUGAGAUUUGGUACAUUGACACAGGAGGGAGGGAGGGGCUUUUCUUGUUUCUCAGUCCUUCUUGACUUUGCACUGAGCACUGUUCUUCCAAGUGUUGGGAUAGAUAUUCUUGUGACUCAAAGGGUCCAUGUGCCCAAAGGAUUUUACCAGGAAAACAACAUUUGCUGAAGUUAAAAAAAAAAAAAAUUACAUGGAAUUCCCAUCAUUCCACAGUGGAAACAAA
Molecule: long non-coding RNA, 2708 nt
Filed under: Sus scrofa (pig)
Lineage: Eukaryota; Metazoa; Chordata; Mammalia; Artiodactyla; Suidae
Description: lncRNA (ENSSSCG00005010441.1)
Source: RNAcentral